GGACAUAGUCGUAACAUAACUGCAGAGACAUAUUCACAAAGAAGUGUUUACAAAAUUCGAGUUGUUGUGGAAAGAUUAUUACAUAAUUAGAAAAGAUAUCAUAAAUAGUCUAAGAAAGAAGAAAUUCAUGAUAUAUAUGAUGUUCUCUCUGCACAGUAAUACUAGCUCCUCUUGUUGUUCAUGAUAUUCAUGUAUGGACAUGACUAAAAU
RNAcentral lists this long non-coding RNA (210 nucleotides) under Brassica rapa (field mustard). RNAcentral describes it as "long non-coding RNA (BRAP_LNC000097)". Lineage: Eukaryota; Viridiplantae; Streptophyta; Magnoliopsida; Brassicales; Brassicaceae. The record is from RNAcentral.